This 446-nucleotide ribosomal RNA is filed under the name uncultured bacterium. RNAcentral describes it as "partial 16S ribosomal RNA". It matches the Rfam family "Bacterial small subunit ribosomal RNA", at positions 338 to 795 of the family's 1533-position model. The record is from RNAcentral.
CCUACGGGCGGCAGCAGUCGAGAAUCAUUCACAAUGGGGGAAACCCUGAUGGUGCGACGCCGCGUGGGGGAAUGAAGGUCUUCGGAUUGUAAACCCCUGUCAUGUGGGAGCAAAUUAAAAAGAUAGUACCACAAGAGGAAGAGACGGCUAACUCUGUGCCAGCAGCCGCGGUAAUACAGAGGUCUCAAGCGUUGUUCGGAAUCACUGGGCGUAAAGCGUGCGUAGGCUGUUUCGUAAGUCGUGUGUGAAAGGCGCGGGCUCAACCCGCGGACGGCACAUGAUACUGCGAGACUAGAGUAAUGGAGGGGGAACCGGAAUUCUCGGUGUAGCAGUGAAAUGCGGAGAUAUCGAGAGGAACACUCGUGGCGAAGGCGGGUUCCUGGACAGUAACUGACGCUGAGGCACGAAGGCCAGGGGAGCGAAAGGGAGUAGAUACCCUUGUAGUC